CCUACGGGAGGCUGCAGUAGGGAAUAUUGCUCAAUGGGGGAAACCCUGAAGCAGCAACGCCGCGUGGAGGAUGAUGGUUUUCGGAUUGUAAACUCCUUUUGUUAGAGAAGAUAAUGACGGUAUCUAACGAAUAAGCACCGGCUAACUCCGUGCCAGCAGCCGCGGUAAUACGGAGGGUGCAAGCGUUACUCGGAAUCACUGGGCGUAAGGAGCGCGUAGGCGGGAUAGCAAGUCAGAUGUGAAAUCCUAUGGCUUAACCAUAGAACUGCAUUUGAAACUGUUAUUCUAGAGUAUGGGAGAGGUAGGUGGAAUUCGUGGUGUAGGGGUAAAAUCCGUAGAGAUCAAAAGGAAUACUCAUUGCGAAGGCGACCUGCUAGAACAUAACUGACGCUGAUGCGCGAAAGCGUGGGGAGCAAACAGGAUUAGAUACCCUUGUAGUC
This 440-nucleotide ribosomal RNA is filed under the name uncultured bacterium. RNAcentral describes it as "partial 16S ribosomal RNA". It matches the Rfam family "Bacterial small subunit ribosomal RNA", at positions 338 to 795 of the family's 1533-position model. The record is from RNAcentral.